AUUGAACGCUGGCGGCAGGCCUAACACAUGCAAGUCGAGCGGAUGAAGGGAGCUUGCUCCUGGAUUCAGCGGCGGACGGGUGAGUAAUGCCUAGGAAUCAGCCUGGUAGUGGGGGAUAACGUCCGGAAACGGGCGCUAAUACCGCAUACGUCCUGAGGGAGAAAGUGGGGGAUCUUCGGACCUCACGCUAUCAGAUGAGCCUAGGUCGGAUUAGCUAGUUGGUGGGGUAAAGGCCUACCAAGGCGACGAUCCGUAACUGGUCUGAGAGGAUGAUCAGUCACACUGGAACUGAGACACGGUCCAGACUCCUACGGGAGGCAGCAGUGGGGAAUAUUGGACAAUGGGCGAAAGCCUGAUCCAGCCAUGCCGCGUGUGUGAAGAAGGUCUUCGGAUUGUAAAGCACUUUAAGUUGGGAGGAAGGGCAGUAAGUUAAUACCUGGCUGUUUUGACGUUACCAACAGAAUAAGCACCGGCUAACUUCGU
RNAcentral lists this ribosomal RNA (483 nucleotides) under uncultured bacterium. Its description in RNAcentral is "partial 16S ribosomal RNA". It matches the Rfam family "Bacterial small subunit ribosomal RNA", at positions 30 to 506 of the family's 1533-position model. The record is from RNAcentral.